This 75-nucleotide transfer RNA is filed under the name Candidatus Peregrinibacteria bacterium. RNAcentral describes it as "tRNA-Trp". It matches the Rfam family "tRNA". Rfam says of the family: Transfer RNA (tRNA) molecules are approximately 80 nucleotides in length. The record is from RNAcentral. RNAcentral also lists the same sequence under 2 other names. Lineage: Bacteria; Candidatus Peregrinibacteriota.
AGCUCUGUAGUUCAACGGUCAGAAUUAAGGACUCCAAAUCCUUCGAUCAGGGUUCGAUUCCCUGCGGAGCUGCCA